ACAAAAUAAUAAUAACCCACAAUUGUGAAACGUUUUGGAAUAGAGGUCUGUACCCUUAAAUCCUGUAGAUAAAGGAGGCAUGUAGCUCCCAAUUUUCUUUGCCUGAGGUACAGGUAUGACUAUUUACUGCAGGGAACAUGAUCCAUAAAUGCUGAGACUUUAUUAGAAAUUGAAUUUGACCCAAAUUGUAUUACUGGCUUUUUGGUGAAAACUUGCAUGAUAGGAUUGAUAGUUGCUGGGUUUCCAACAAAUACUAAAAUUUGGAUCCUUGCCAGUACUUCUGUUCCUAAGGUAAUAUAUUUAAAAACCUGGUGUAGCAAACUUCUUCCUUUGCCUGUAACCUCUCACUUGGUUACCUUCAACUGCAAUCGUAGCUUCUAUUAAAAAACCUUUUGAAUUAUCAGAGGUGGUGAUAGGCACUAAUAACUAACAAGUAAUCUCUAAAUGCUCUAUCGUAAUAAUUAUAGCAGGAAUACAGUUGUGUGUCUUCUGGCUGAAGGUGAACUAGAUUCUUUCAGGUUGCCGUGAGGGGGACCAUUCAAGCACCCUGAGCCUGUUGGAGAAAAGAAGAGCUGCGAACUCAAAAGCCUAAUGCAGUCGUUCUCCGUGCUUCUACCUAGAGGGACGUCUCUUGUCGGGACACCACUGCAGGGGAGGCCCCUUCCUGUGCCAUCACCACACAAUAAGGUACAUCUUUUGGUGGGACAGCCAUCCUUGUUUUGUUCCAGCUCUUUUUUUUACAGACCUCACCUGUGCCGGAGGCAAAUCUGCUCCAUUGACAAGAGGCAGUGUCAGAGCUCUUGAUGCAUCAAGUGAACAUCUUCAGUGUAGGACUGAGAGGCACCUGCGUCUUGACUGCGCUGCUUUAGGUAACCGGCUGUUUUUGCUCCUGUGUCUGGAGGGGAGGGCUGCUGAAGACCCUAGUCUCUUCCAGGUGCAUCUCAGCGACACAAGAAAUAGAAUUUUGCAAGCCUUCAGGAAACUUAACGGCAAGUGAACUUCACACCUCACAAUUCAGUGAUCUUUUUCAGUACAAUCCUUUUGUGCUGGCUUCUCCAUUUCCCCCGCUUGAUCUCUUCACAGUUCUGUCCAAGAGCCCACCACACUCAGGUGAAGCCAGCUCUUCCUGCAGAAGUCAGACCAGCAGAAGGAACUUCCAGGCCCAUGAAUUCACACUUCAGAGGGACAAACAAAAAGGUGAGCAUAAAGGCAGAGUUUAACGACUGGAACCAGUCUCUGCAAAUUAAUGGCAGUCAACAUGGCACUCUGUGACUUAAACA
Molecule: non-coding RNA, 1280 nt
Organism: Zootoca vivipara (common lizard)
Lineage: Eukaryota; Metazoa; Chordata; Lepidosauria; Squamata; Lacertidae
Source: RefSeq, a predicted model, not a curated record